AUAUCAAUAAGCGGAGGAAAAGAAACCAACAGGGAUUGCCCCAGUAACGGCGAGUGAAGCGGCAAGAGCUCAAAUUUGAAAUCUGGCCUCCUCCGGGGGUCCGAGUUGUAAUUUGCAGAGGAUGCUUCGGGUGCGGCCCCCGUCUAAGUUCCUUGGAAUAGGACGUCAGAGAGGGUGAGAAUCCCGUCUUGGGCGGGCGGCCCGCGCCCGUGUGAAGCUCCUUCGACGAGUCGAGUUGUUUGGGAAUGCAGCUCUAAGCGGGUGGUAAAUUUCAUCUAAAGCUAAAUAUUGGCCGGAGACCGAUAGCGCACAAGUAGAGUGAUCGAAAGGUUAAAAGCACCUUGAAAAGGGAGUUAAACAGCACGUGAAAUUGUUGAAAGGGAAGCGCUUGCGGCCAGACUCGGGGGCGGGGUUCAGCGGGCGCUCGUCGCCCGUGCACUCCCCGCGCCCCGGGCCAGCAUCAGUUUCGACGGUCGGUCAAAGGCCCCCGGAAUGUGUCGUCUCUAGGGACGUCUUAUAGCCGGGGGUGCAAUGCGGCCCGUCGGGACUGAGGAACGCGCUUCGGCUCGGAUGCUGGCGUAAUGGCCGUAAGCGGC
This 596-nucleotide ribosomal RNA is filed under the name Trichophyton benhamiae. RNAcentral describes it as "eukaryotic LSU rRNA". It matches the Rfam family "Eukaryotic large subunit ribosomal RNA", at positions 40 to 648 of the family's 3401-position model. Lineage: Eukaryota; Fungi; Ascomycota; Eurotiomycetes; Onygenales; Arthrodermataceae. The record is from RNAcentral.